RNAcentral lists this ribosomal RNA (555 nucleotides) under Bacteroidetes bacterium zo35. RNAcentral's name for it is "bacterial SSU rRNA". It matches the Rfam family "Bacterial small subunit ribosomal RNA", at positions 346 to 902 of the family's 1533-position model. The record is from RNAcentral. Lineage: Bacteria; Pseudomonadati; Bacteroidota.
AGGCAGCAGUAGGGAAUAUUGGGCAAUGGUCGCAAGACUGACCCAGCCAUGCCGCGUGCAGGAAGACGGCCCUCUGGGUUGUAAACUGCUUUUAUCUGGGAAGAAAAAGUCCAUGCGUGGAAAAUUGCCGGUACCAGAUGAAUAAGCACCGGCUAACUCCGUGCCAGCAGCCGCGGUAAUACGGAGGGUGCAAGCGUUGUCCGGAUUUAUUGGGUUUAAAGGGUGCGUAGGCGGCUGAAUAAGUCAGCGGUGAAAGACUUCGGCUUAACCGGAGCAGUGCCGUUGAUACUGUUUAGCUUGAGUGUUGGAGGGGUACAUGGAAUUGAUGGUGUAGCGGUGAAAUGCAUAGAUACCAUCAGGAACACCGAUAGCGAAGGCAUUGUACUGGCCAACAACUGACGCUGAGGCACGAAAGUGUGGGGAUCGAACAGGAUUAGAUACCCUGGUAGUCCACACUGUAAACGAUGAUUACUCGCUGUUAUGGUGUAUGCUGUAGCGGCCAAGCGAAAGCGUUAAGUAAUCCACCUGGGGAGUACGCCGGCAACGGUGAAACUC